CUUUUCCCAACUUUCCAUUUUUUUUUCCGUUCCCUCCACUUUUGCCAUCCAGCUCAAUUGCGGCAAUUAUUUUCACUUUCCACGCUGCUUGUAAUGCAAUUCUUUCCUGGCCGGCCUCUGCUGCUCCUCUUGCUCGGGUUUGCGAAGGUGGCUGUGAGGAGCAGCUCGUAGAAUGGAAGAAAGAAAGAAGCAACGGGAAGAAGAAUGAGAAACUUCCGAGAACAAUGAAGUGAAGGAAAGGCAACUCAGCUCUUAGGCAAGCACCGCGGAACAGAGAACACAGCGACGCAGGCGUGUGACGCGAAUAUUUGUUACGUCGCGGCAAUAAGGUUUACAAAUCACCUGGCGAGGAGUGCGGACACGUGGGAAUUCUUGUGGACAGGGAACCAAACCCAAUGACGCGGCGCUCAAACCUGAACCCGAGGAUAAAGUAAAUCUAAAAGCGCUUUGUCUGUCUGUUUGUUUGCUGUCUGAAUGUUUGUUUUGCACAACAAUGAAGCCGAAUUCGGGAGUAAAACUGACACUUUCCAGAGGAGAAUGGUCGAUGUUCGCUAACACUCACUGAAAAAUGGCGAAAAAAAAAUCUAUCUCUACAAAAAGUUAUCAGAAAUAAAUAAAAAUUCAGAGCGGAGGAGAGGGAGCCAUGAAAAUGAAUUCUCACAUUGUGCCUUUCUUGCCCCAAAAAUAACGUUUCCGUGAACACUGGUCUCUC
This is a long non-coding RNA of Scylla paramamosain (green mud crab), 712 nucleotides long. RefSeq lists it as uncharacterized. The transcript is spliced from 2 exons. Lineage: Eukaryota; Metazoa; Arthropoda; Malacostraca; Decapoda; Portunidae. The record is from RefSeq and is a predicted model, not a curated record.